AUCCAGAUGACUGACUAGUCCCAAACAGGACGAAAUGUACAUCCUGGAU
RNAcentral lists this non-coding RNA (49 nucleotides) under Trichobilharzia regenti. Lineage: Eukaryota; Metazoa; Platyhelminthes; Trematoda; Strigeidida; Schistosomatidae. The record is from RNAcentral.